RNAcentral lists this unclassified non-coding RNA (426 nucleotides) under uncultured fungus. RNAcentral's name for it is "partial contains small subunit ribosomal RNA, internal transcribed spacer 1, and 5.8S ribosomal RNA". The stretch from base 1 to 73 matches the Rfam family "Eukaryotic small subunit ribosomal RNA", at positions 1759 to 1831 of the family's 1831-position model. The record is from RNAcentral. Lineage: Eukaryota; Fungi.
UCAAACUUGGUCAUUUAGAGGAAGUAAAAGUCGUAACAAGGUUUCCGUAGGUGAACCUGCGGAAGGAUCAUUAACGACUUUUGAAGGCGGAGGCCUGUUGCUGGUGCGGAAACGUUACAUGUGCACGGCCUUCGUGCUCGGUCCACUCAACCCCUGUGCACCCUGCGAAGCCAGUAGCUUCUCUCUGUAUCUGUCUUUCUGUUCUGUAUCCCCUUUGACUGUAUGUAUGGGCCUUGCUCCGUGUGGGGUUCAAGCUUGGUUGAAGGGGGGAGGUGCAGAGGGCAGUGCGAGGAAGGCGAACGCUUUGAUUCUUUUUACUACAAACCCACUGUAAUGUUGUGUUGAAUGUAAUGCUCCCUGUGAGCGAAACUAAUUACAACUUUCAACAACGGAUCUCUUGGCUCUCGCAUCGAUGAAGAACGCAGC